GAUGAACGCUGGCGGCGUGCCUAAUACAUGCAAGUCGAGCGAACAGACGAGGAGCUUGCUCCUCUGACGUUAGCGGCGGACGGGUGAGUAACACGUGGAUAACCUACCUAUAAGACUGGGAUAACUUCGGGAAACCGGAGCUAAUACCGGAUAAUAUAUUGAACCGCAUGGUUCAAUAGUGAAAGACGGUUUUGCUGUCACUUAUAGAUGGAUCCGCGCCGCAUUAGCUAGUUGGUAAGGUAACGGCUUACCAAGGCAACGAUGCGUAGCCGACCUGAGAGGGUGAUCGGCCCCACUGGAACUGAGACACGGUCCAGACUCCUACGGGAGGCAGCAGUAGGGAAUCUUCCGCAAUGGGCGAAAGCCUGACGGAGCAACGCCGCGUGAGUGAUGAAGGUCUUCGGAUCGUAAAACUCUGUUAUUAGGGAAGAACAAAUGUGUAAGUAACUAUGCACGUCUUGACGGUACCUAAUCAGAAAGCCACGGCUAACUACGU
This 496-nucleotide ribosomal RNA is filed under the name uncultured bacterium. RNAcentral's name for it is "partial 16S ribosomal RNA". It matches the Rfam family "Bacterial small subunit ribosomal RNA", at positions 28 to 506 of the family's 1533-position model. The record is from RNAcentral.